CAAUAAGCGGAGGAAAAGAAACUAACAAGGAUUCCCCUAGUAACUGCGAGUGAAGCGGGAAAAGCUCAAAUUUAAAAUCUGGUAGUCUCUGGCUGCCCGAGUUGUAAUCUAGAGAAGCGUUAUCCGCGCUGGACCGUGUAUAAGUCUCCUGGAAUGGAGCGUCAUAGAGGGUGAGAAUCCCGUCUUUGACACGGACUACCAGGGCUUUGUGAUGCGCUCUCAAAGAGUCGAGUUGUUUGGGAAUGCAGCUCUAAAUGGGUGGUAAAUUCCAUCUAAAGCUAAAUAUUGGCGAGAGACCGAUAGCGAACAAGUACCGUGAGGGAAAGAUGAAAAGAACUUUGGAAAGAGAGUUAAACAGUACGUGAAAUUGUUGAAAGGGAAACGCUUGAAGUCAGUCGCGUUGGCUAGGAAUCAGCCUUGCUUUUGCUUGGUGUACUUCCUUGUUGACGGGUCAGCAUCAAUUUUGACCGGUGGAAAAAGGCUAGUGGAAUGUGGCAUCUUCGGAUGUGUUAUAGCUGCUAGUUGUAUACAUCGGUUGGGAUUGAGGAACUCAGCACGCCGAAAGGUCGGGGUUUUGCCCACGUUCGUGCUUAGGAUGCUGGCAUAAUGGCUUUAAUCGACCCGUCUUGAAACACGGACCAAGGAGUCUAACAUGCCUGCGAGUGUUUGGGUGGAAAACCCGAGCGCGUAAUGAAAGUGAAAGUUGAGAUCCCUGUCGUGGGGAGCAUCGACGCCCGGACCAGACCUUUUGUGACGGAUCCGCGGUAGAGCAUGUAUGUUGGGACCCGAAAGAUGGUGAACUAUGCCUGAAUAGGGUGAAGCCAGAGGAAACUCUGGUGGAGGCUCGUAGCGAUUCUGACGUGCAAAUCGAUCGUCAAAUUUGGGUAUAGGGGCGAAAGACUAAUCGAACC
RNAcentral lists this ribosomal RNA (911 nucleotides) under Clitopilus rugosiceps. Its description in RNAcentral is "partial large subunit ribosomal RNA". It matches the Rfam family "Eukaryotic large subunit ribosomal RNA", at positions 44 to 941 of the family's 3401-position model. Lineage: Eukaryota; Fungi; Basidiomycota; Agaricomycetes; Agaricales; Entolomataceae. The record is from RNAcentral.